GACGAACGCUGGCGGCGUGCUUAACACAUGCAAGUCGAACGCGCCUGUCCUCUGGGGUUCUGGGGGGUGGUUGAGUGUCGAACGGGUGAGUAACACGUGAGUAACCUGCCCCCUUCUUCGGUAUAACGGUCUGAAAGGGCUUCUAAUACCGGGUAUUCACUGGUCUCCGCAUGGGGUCUGGUUGAAAGGUUUUUUUCUGGUGGGGGAUGGGCUCGCGGCCUAUCAGCUUGUUGGUGGGGUGAUGGCCCACCAAGGCUUUGACGGGUAGCCGGCCUGAGACGGUGACCGGUCAGAUUGGGACUGAGAUACGGCCGAGACUGAUACGGGAGGCAGAAGUGGGGAAGAUUGAACAAUGGGGGCAAGCCUGCUGCAGCGACGAGGCGUGAGGGAUGGAGGCCUUCGGGUUGUGAACCUCUUUGGGCCGUGGUCAAGCCGCGCCGGGGGUCGUGGUGAGGGUAGUGGGUAAAGAAGCGCCGGCUAACUACGUG
This 488-nucleotide ribosomal RNA is filed under the name uncultured bacterium. RNAcentral describes it as "partial 16S ribosomal RNA". It matches the Rfam family "Bacterial small subunit ribosomal RNA", at positions 28 to 507 of the family's 1533-position model. The record is from RNAcentral.